RNAcentral lists this ribosomal RNA (542 nucleotides) under uncultured bacterium. Its description in RNAcentral is "bacterial SSU rRNA". It matches the Rfam family "Bacterial small subunit ribosomal RNA", at positions 8 to 543 of the family's 1533-position model. The record is from RNAcentral.
AGAGUUUGAUUAUGGCUCAGGAUGAACGCUGGCGGCGUGCUUAACACAUGCAAGUCGAACGGACUCAUAUUGAAACCUAGUGAAGUAUGAGUUAGUGGCGGACGGGUGAGUAACGCGUGGAAAACCUGCCGUAUACUGGGGGAUAACACUUAGAAAUAGGUGCUAAUACCGCAUAAGCGCACAGCUUCGCAUGAAGCAGUGUGAAAAACUGAGGUGGUAUACGAUGGUUCCGCGUCUGAUUAGCUAGUUGGUGGGGUAAAAGCCUACCAAGGCAACGAUCAGUAGCCGGCCUGAGAGGGUGAACGGCCACAUUGGGACUGAGACACGGCCCAAACUCCUACGGGAGGCAGCAGUGGGGAAUAUUGCACAAUGGGGGAAACCCUGAUGCAGCGACGCCGCGUGAGUGAAAAAGUAUUUCGGUAUGUAAAGCUCUAUCAGCAGGGAAGAAAUACUGAACAUAGGGUCAGCAGACGGUACUUGACUAAGAAGCCCCGGCUAACUACGUGCCAGCAGCCGCGGUAAUACGUAGGGGGCAAGCGUUA